CCUACGGGAGGCAGCAGUGAGGAAUAUUGGUCAAUGGGCGCGAGCCUGAACCAGCCAAGUAGCGUGAAGGAUGACUGCCCUACGGGUUGUAAACUUCUUUUAUAAAGGAAUAAAGUGAGGCACGUGUGCCUUUUUGUAUGUAUUUUAUGAAUAAGGAUCGGCUAACUCCGUGCCAGCAGCCGCGGUAAUACGGAGGAUCCGAGCGUUAUCCGGAUUUAUUGGGUUUAAAGGGUGCGUAGGCGGCCUGCUAAGUCUGGAGUGAAAGGUACCGGCUCAACGUGGGAACUGCCUUUGAAACUGGCAAACUGGAGUGUGUGAGAGGAUAGUGGAAUUCCAGGUGUAGGAGUGAAAUCCGUAGAUAUCUGGAGGAACAUCAGUGGCGAAGGCGACUAUCUGGAACAUAACUGACGCUGAGGAGCGAAAGCGUGGGUAGCAAACAGGAUUAGAUACCCGUGUAGUC
RNAcentral lists this ribosomal RNA (460 nucleotides) under uncultured bacterium. Its description in RNAcentral is "partial 16S ribosomal RNA". It matches the Rfam family "Bacterial small subunit ribosomal RNA", at positions 338 to 795 of the family's 1533-position model. The record is from RNAcentral.